This 484-nucleotide ribosomal RNA is filed under the name uncultured bacterium. RNAcentral describes it as "bacterial SSU rRNA". It matches the Rfam family "Bacterial small subunit ribosomal RNA", at positions 28 to 507 of the family's 1533-position model. The record is from RNAcentral.
GAUGAACGCUAGCGACAGGCUUAACACAUGCAAGUCGAGGGGCAGCGGGGAGUAGCAAUACUUCGCCGGCGACCGGCGCACGGGUGAGUAACACGUGUGCAACCAACCCCGUACCGGGAGAUAACCCGCGGAAACGUGGACUAACAUCCCAUAAUACUGGAGGAUCGCAUGAUCUUUCAUUUAAAAUUCCGGUGGUACGGGACGGGCACGCGCGACAUUAGGUAGUUGGCGGGGUAACGGCCCACCAAGCCGACGAUGUCUAGGGGUUCUGAGAGGAAAGUCCCCCACACUGGAACUGAGACACGGUCCAAACUCCUACGGGAGGCAGCAGUGAGGAAUAUUGGUCAAUGGACGAGAGUCUGAACCAGCCAAGUAGCGUGCAGGAUGACGGCCCUAUGGGUCGUAAACUGCUUUAUAAGGGAAUAAAGUGAGUCUCGUGAGACUUUUGCAUGUACCUUAUGAAUAAGGACCGGCUAAUUCCGUG